Molecule: ribosomal RNA, 557 nt
Filed under: uncultured archaeon
Lineage: Archaea
Description: bacterial SSU rRNA
Rfam family: Archaeal small subunit ribosomal RNA
Source: RNAcentral
CCCUACGGGGUGCAGCAGGCGCGAAAACUCUACAAUGCACGAAAGUGUGAUAGGGGAAUCCCCAGUGCUCAUGUAAUACAUGGGCUUUUGUUAAGGGUAAAAACCUUUACGAAUAAGUGGUGGGCAAGACUGGUGCCAGCAGCCGCGGUAACCCCAGCGCCACGAGUGGCAACCACUUUUAUUGGGCCUAAAGCGUCCGUAGCCUGUUAUGUAAAUUUCCUGUGAAAUCGUCACGCUUAACGUGUCGGCGUGCAGGAACGACUGCAUAACUUGGGACCGGGAGGAGUCGGGAGUAUGCCGUGGGGAGCGGUAAAAUGUUAUAAUCCUCGGUAGACUACCAGUGGCGAAGGCGCCCGACCAGAACGGAUCCGACGGUGAGGGACGAAAGCUAGGGGAGCAAAUCGGAUUAGAUACCCGUGUAGUCCUAGCCGUAAACUCUGCGAACUAGGUGUUGCGUAUUCGACAAGAAUGCGCAGUGUCGAAGCGAAGGUGUUAAGUUCGCCGCCUGGGAAGUACGGUCGCAAGGCUGAAACUUAAAGGAAUUGGCGGGGGAGCAC